ACUUGGAGACAGGCCACAUUUGGGCAGUACGCAUUCGGAGGGCUCUCUGGCUUUCCGAUCUUGGGUCGCUGUACUUGGCUCUGAAUACAGUCACCCCAUCAGAGUAGCAAAACACUGUGGUUGUAGUGUGAGAAUCCAAUGUUAAUGUUGGCCGAAAGCUCUUGAUUUUCUUCCCUGAGAACAUAGGCGUGAGGAUUUGGAUGUGUUUCCAAAUGCUUGUUACUCUUUGCCGUAAACCUGGAAUUUGGACCUAUGGCUGCCUGGGACUCAUACUGUCGUGGAGAAAGAUUGAAAAGUAGUUAAUGGCAGUGGUGGUAUGAAGAUAAGCCAGCUAAGACAUGUUUUAAAGUAGAAGAUUAUAAGACCUCCCCCAGGGUCCUGCAGUCAGUCAGUUAUACCCUGCCCUUCAACAUCAAGCUUUGAACCUCUACUCUAGAAAUACCUUUUAUUAUAUUCAAACUUGAAGCACGUGGACAUAGCAUGCUUUGGUGCCUUCGUCCUUGCCCCCCUCCUUCCUACACAGUUCUUUGCAAUGAGAAUAUGGGAAAUAAGGACUUAAUGUGAGAUAAGGCAGAAAGUCAGCAUGAAUACCAGCACAGCCCAACUAUGUGUAAGCAGAUCUGUGCAGGAAUGAGAGUCCCAGGGAGAGAAUCCACGUUGUUUCUGAAAGAAAAUGGCUAUAGCUCACUGUUGUUUACUGGAAAUAGUAGGGGGAAGGAAAGAUGGAAGUCCAGGUCCAGUGUCAUAUACUGCCCUGCACCUUACUCACUUCUCUGCCUUUAGGGUGAUGCCACACUCAAUCAGAAACUAUGCUACUGCUGAAGAGGUAUAUUGAGCCCUGCCUGGUUAACCUCCAGUGAGGUUAUUAGAGAAUUGGGAGAGGCUCAAAUCAGCAUCCUGCACCUAGUUAUCAAACCAUUGUGAAGUCUUGAUUCCUGGAUGGCCAGAAAACUUGUCAUUGGUCAAGAGCAACAUUAAGAUCUGCCUGUUACUCAUACUGAUGCUUCCUGCCCAGCAAGUUCAUCAGAGGGCGAGGAUGAAUUACGGUUGCCAUGAAUGUCCUUGUGAGGCAGUUGGGAAGCCUUGGCUGGAUUGUGAAGGAUAUUUGAAAAGUAUUUUAGAGUCCACCAGAUCAUCCAUGUGAGUGACCAUGCAGCAAAAGAAGGAGGGUCCUCUCAGUGAUUAAGGUGAUCUGGACAAAGGAACAGGUAUCUCAGAGACAGGGUUUUACCAUGUUGCCCAGGCUAGAUUUGAACUCCUGGGCUCAAGUGAUCCUCUCGACCCAGCCUCCUGAGUAUCUGUGACUGCAGGCAAGUACCCCUGUGCCUGCUCACUUAUUUAAAGUUCUACACAUCAAA
Molecule: long non-coding RNA, 1358 nt
Organism: Homo sapiens (human)
Lineage: Eukaryota; Metazoa; Chordata; Mammalia; Primates; Hominidae
Gene: FTX
Product: FTX transcript, XIST regulator
Source: Ensembl